RNAcentral lists this transfer RNA (103 nucleotides) under Kribbella italica. Its description in RNAcentral is "tRNA-OTHER". Lineage: Bacteria; Bacillati; Actinomycetota; Actinomycetes; Propionibacteriales; Kribbellaceae. The record is from RNAcentral.
GCGCACUUGGUGGCUCGGAGGCCGAGCAGUUGGUGUGCUGGAGAGUCCUCGGUGCAGGCUCCUACGGAUCAGAAGGUUGGGGGUUCGAAUCCCUCCGAGCGCG